Molecule: ribosomal RNA, 424 nt
Filed under: uncultured bacterium
Lineage: Bacteria
Description: bacterial SSU rRNA
Rfam family: Bacterial small subunit ribosomal RNA
Source: RNAcentral
GGGGAAUCUUCCGCAAUGGGCGAAAGCCUGACGGAGCAACGCCGCGUGAGUGAAGACGGCCUUCGGGUUGUAAAGCUCUUUUGUCCGGGACGAAAGACAGAUGUAGGAAAUGACAUCUGAGUGACGGUACCGGAAGAAAAAGCCACGGCUAACUACGUGCCAGCAGCCGCGGUAAUACGUAGGUGGCAAGCGUUGUCCGGAAUUAUUGGGCGUAAAGCGCGCGCAGGCGGCCCGUUAAGUCCAUCUUAAAAGCGUGGGGCUCAACCCCAUGAUGGGAUGGAAACUGACAGGCUGGAGUAUCGGAGAGGAAAGUGGAAUUCCUAGUGUAGCGGUGAAAUGCGUAGAGAUUAGGAAGAACACCGGUGGCGAAGGCGACUUUCUGGACGACAACUGACGCUGAGGCGCGAAAGCGUGGGGAGCAAAC